CCCUUAGAUGUUCUGGGCGGCCCGCGCACUACAUUGGCACUCUCAAUAAGUUCCUAGAUCUAAAACUUUGGGGUAUUCUAUUAAGUGGUGUCGUGACUGGGAUUAACCCUUGCAAUUAUUGGUUACGAACGAGGAAUUCCUUGUAAUCGCGGUUUAUCAGCCCGCGUUGAAUGCGUCCCUGCCCUUUGUACACACCGCCCGUCGCUCCUACCGAUGAAUCGUCCGGUGAAGUUCAUGGAGUGGUGGUUGUUCCAGCUGCUGUCGAAGUGAAAUGGACCUCACGAUCUAGAGGAAGGAGAAGUCGUAACA
RNAcentral lists this ribosomal RNA (309 nucleotides) under uncultured eukaryote. RNAcentral describes it as "partial 18S ribosomal RNA". It matches the Rfam family "Eukaryotic small subunit ribosomal RNA", at positions 1470 to 1796 of the family's 1831-position model. The record is from RNAcentral.